This 399-nucleotide ribosomal RNA is filed under the name uncultured bacterium. Its description in RNAcentral is "partial 16S ribosomal RNA". It matches the Rfam family "Bacterial small subunit ribosomal RNA", at positions 338 to 734 of the family's 1533-position model. The record is from RNAcentral.
CCUACGGGAGGCAGCAGUGAGGAAUAUUGGUCAAUGGACGAGAGGCUGAACCAGCCAAGUAGCGUGAGGGAAGACUGCCCUAUGGGUUGUAAACUUCUUUUAUGUGGGGAUAAAGCGUGCCACGUGUGGAUGUUUGUAGGUACUGUAUGAAUAAGGAUCGGCUAACGCCGUGCCAGCAGCCGCGGUAAUACGGAGGAUCCGAGCGUUAUCCGGAUUUAUUGGGUUUAAAGGGAGCGUAGGCGGGUUGUUAAGUGAGUUGUGAAAGUUUGCGGCUCAACCGUCAAAUUGCAGCUGAGACUGGCAUCCUUGAGUACACGAGAGGUAGGCGGAAUUCGUGGUGUAGCGGUGAAAUGCUUAGAUAUCACGAAGAACCCCGAUUGCGAAGGCAGUCUACCGCAC